ACAGAGGUGGCAAGCGUUACUCGGAAUUAUUGGGUGUAAAGGGCAGGUAGGUGGCUCUGUAAGUGAGGGGUGAAAUCCCACGGUUCAAUCGUGGAACAGCCUUUCAAACUGUAGAGCUUGAGAGAAACAGAGGAAGACGGAAUUCCCGGUGUACGGUUGAAAUCUGUAGAUAUCGGGAAGAACACCAACGGCGAAGGCAAUCUUCUGGGUUUCUUCUGACACUGAGCUGCGAAAGCUAGUGGAGCAAACAG
This 251-nucleotide ribosomal RNA is filed under the name uncultured prokaryote. RNAcentral describes it as "partial 16S rRNA". It matches the Rfam family "Bacterial small subunit ribosomal RNA", at positions 525 to 775 of the family's 1533-position model. The record is from RNAcentral.